GCUCAGGAUGAACGCUGGCGGCGUGCCUAACACAUGCAAGUCGAGCGAGAAGCUACCUAUGAUCCUUCGGGAGAUUAGACUAGUGGACAGCGGCGGACGGGUGAGUAACGCGUAAAUAACCUGCCAUACACACAAGGAUAGCCAUCGGAAACGGUGAUUAAUACUUGAUGAAGCUACAUAUUCGCAUGAAUGAGUAGUUAAAGAAUUUUGGUGUAUGAUGGAUUUGCGUUUGAUUAGCUAGUUGGUAAGGUAAAGGCUUACCAAGGCAAUGAUCAAUAGCCGGCCUGAGAGGGUGAACGGCCACACUGGAACUGAGACACGGUCCAGACUCCUACGGGAGGCAGCAGUGGGGAAUAUUGCACAAUGGAGGAAACUCUGAUGCAGCAACGCCGCGUGAACGAAGAAGGCUUUCGAGUCGUAAAGUUCUGUUAUAGGGGAAGAGGAAGUGACGGUACCCUAUGAGAAAGCCACGGCUAAUUACGUGCCAGCAGCCGCGGUAAUACGUAAGUGGCAAGCGUUAUCCGGAAUUACUGGGCAUAAAGCGUUCGUAGGCGGUUAAACAAGCCAAUAGUGAAAUCCACCAGCCUAACUGGUGUCAGCUAAUGGAACUGUAUAACUUGAGUACAGGAGAGGAAAGUGGAAUUCCUAGUGUAGUAGUGAAAUGCGUAGAUAUUAGGAAGAACAUCAGUAGCGAAGGCGACUUUCUGGACUGUAACUGACGCUGAGGAACGAAAGCGUGGGGAGCGAACACGAUUAGAUACCCUGGUAGUCCACGCCGUAAACGAUGGAUACUUGGUGUUGGCCGUAAAGGUCGGUGCCGGAGCAAAUGUCUUAAGUAUCCCGCCUGGGGAGUACGGUCGCAAGGCUGAAACUCAA
Molecule: ribosomal RNA, 876 nt
Filed under: uncultured organism
Description: bacterial SSU rRNA
Rfam family: Bacterial small subunit ribosomal RNA
Source: RNAcentral